UUUUUUUUUUGGAUUUUUGAAUAAGGAUAACUAAAUUGCAGCAGCAGUAAGGUAGGAAACCAGAACCUGUUGCAAUUCACGGGGAGAUCAAAGGAUGAUCCGCGGUGGUGGAGAUGAUGGCGUAAUUCGGCGACGAUAUUUUAAGCAAUUGUGGGAAUUGCUUUGGAUAGUUGUGGAGGGUUGAUAGAUGGCUAUGGAAGGGCAGUGAGAUGCCAAGAACGCUGCUCUGAUACCAGGUGUUAGAACCCUUGCAAAUUCUAAACUUGGGGUUGAUCUCUUUAGGGGAUCGGCCUCCU
Molecule: long non-coding RNA, 296 nt
Filed under: Musa acuminata (dwarf banana)
Lineage: Eukaryota; Viridiplantae; Streptophyta; Magnoliopsida; Zingiberales; Musaceae
Description: long non-coding RNA (MACU_LNC010646)
Source: RNAcentral